RNAcentral lists this ribosomal RNA (497 nucleotides) under uncultured bacterium. RNAcentral describes it as "partial 16S ribosomal RNA". It matches the Rfam family "Bacterial small subunit ribosomal RNA", at positions 28 to 507 of the family's 1533-position model. The record is from RNAcentral.
GAUGAACGCUGGCGGCGUGCCUAAUACAUGCAAGUCGAGCGAACAGACGAGGAGCUUGCUCCUCUGACGUUAGCGGCGGACGGGUGAGUAACACGUGGAUAACCUACCUAUAAGACUGGGAUAACUUCGGGAAACCGGAGCUAAUACCGGAUAAUAUAUUGAACCGCAUGGUUCAAUAGUGAAAGACGGUUUUGCUGUCACUUAUAGAUGGAUCCGCGCCGCAUUAGCUAGUUGGUAAGGUAACGGCUUACCAAGGCGACGAUGCGUAGCCGACCUGAGAGGGUGAUCGGCCACGCUGGAACUGAGACGCGGUCCAGACUCCUACGGGAGGCAGCAGUAGGGAAUCUUCCGCAAUGGGCGAAAGCCUGACGGAGCAACGCCGCGUGAGUGAUGAAGGUCUUCGGAUCGUAAAACUCUGUUAUUAGGGAAGAACAAAUGUGUAAGUAACUAUGCACGUCUUGACGGUACCUAAUCAGAAAGCCACGGCUAACUACGUG